This 244-nucleotide ribosomal RNA is filed under the name uncultured bacterium. RNAcentral describes it as "partial 16S ribosomal RNA". It matches the Rfam family "Bacterial small subunit ribosomal RNA", at positions 32 to 263 of the family's 1533-position model. The record is from RNAcentral.
GACGAAACGCUGGCGGCGUGCCUAACACAUGCAAGUCGAGCGAGUGAAUCUCCUUCGGAGUGAAGCUAGCGGCGGACGGGUGAGUAAACACGUGGGCAAACCUGCCUCAUAGAGGGGAAUAGCCUUCCGAAAAGGAAGAUUAAUGCCGCAUAAGAUGUAGCUUCGCAUGAAGUAGCAAAUUAAAGGAGCAAAUCCGCUAUGAGAUGGGGCCCCGCGGCGCAUUAGCUAGUUGGUGAGGUAACGG